Molecule: ribosomal RNA, 484 nt
Filed under: Dissosteira carolina (Carolina grasshopper)
Lineage: Eukaryota; Metazoa; Arthropoda; Insecta; Orthoptera; Acrididae
Description: partial 16S ribosomal RNA
Rfam family: Bacterial large subunit ribosomal RNA
Source: RNAcentral
GUCUGACCUGCUCACUGAGUUGAUUUAAAGAGCCGCGGUAUUUUGACCGUGCAAAGGUAGCAUAAUCAUUAGUUUCUUAAUUAGGGGCUUGAAUGAAUGGUUUAACGAGAAAUUAACUGUCUCUUAAUAAAUUUUGGAAUUUAACUUUUGAGUUAAAAGGCUUAAAUAUUUCUUUAGGACGAGAAGACCCUAUAGAGCUUAACAUUUUUAGAUUUAUAUUAUUUUUGUCUAUUUUUAAGUAUAAGUUUUUUAAUGUUUAGUUGGGGUGACUUGAAGAAUAAUUAAACUCUUCAUUAUUAAAUCAUUAAUUUAUGUUUAUUUGAUCCAUAAUUUAUGAUCAUAAGAUUAAGUUACCUUAGGGAUAACAGCGUAAUCAUUUUUGAGAGUUCCUAUCGACAAAAUGGGUUGCGACCUCGAUGUUGGAUUAAGAUUAAUUUUAGGUGUAGUAGCUUAAUAAUUAGGUCUGUUCGACCUUUAAAUUCUU